Molecule: non-coding RNA, 2604 nt
Organism: Salmo salar (Atlantic salmon)
Lineage: Eukaryota; Metazoa; Chordata; Actinopteri; Salmoniformes; Salmonidae
Source: RefSeq, a predicted model, not a curated record
UGAAGGCACUGUAUGCUUUCUGACAUUUUCUCACUAUACACACACACACAACACACGCAAGCAUACAUCUCCCCGAGGCCUGAUUGAGUGUAAGUGUCUGCGCUGCUGGUCAAGGUCAGCUGAUAAUGGGAGUGAUUGAGAACGGGGAGCAACAGUCUCAGGUAAUGAGAUUUACGACCCUGAGCCCCCCUCCACCUCCCCCUGACCACCUUCCACCUCCCCCUGUCCACCCUCCUCUCCCACUAAUAUGAUUUAUGGCUCUAAUACAAGUCUACGCUCCACAGAUAGAGGCUUCACUGCACACAUUACCACUGAGGGAAACUCAUCCUUCCACAAUGUGUGGGAGACCAGAGAAACAACUCUACCAGAGGAAGAACUAGAGGCUUCUGGAAACCAAGCGACAGCGAAACAGUCAGAUAGCAUCCCACUAGUUGUAAUGCUAAUAUUUACUGUGGCUCAAAACACCAACUGUACGUGUUCAAAAUGAAGGUAGACUGAUGUUCAUAUUCUACUAUGGACGGUGCGUGGUACAGACUGACAUCGACUGGAGCAGAACAGGCCCCGAGGACCAUUCAGCUCUACCAUUGGGCCCCACAAAAUCAUUUGGAAGAAGUUGUUUCAGCGACCAACAUGUCAGCAAUUAUCACAUUAACAGGUCACAAGAUGUGCUGGGCUCCCCCUCCAUGAAUCCCAAGAAUCCCAUCAUGCCCUAGGAGUUUAAAAGCUCCAAUCCAGCUCGAACUCAACCUCACAUGACUCCAGUUCCCAUCACCAACUUGACUCCAGUCCCUUGUUGUUCAGUCCUGCUGUUUCCACACAGCGGUCUAGUUGUGACAGUGGCUUUCAAUGAGAAUCCAGUUGGCCUUCCCUCUCUUGUACCCCUCAUUAACGUUGGCCCCCAUGUCAGAGCCCUGGGCUGCAGAGGGGAAGGCUCUCAUGGUGUCUCUGCUGUACGGAGAGCCAGAUCUGAUCCCAGCCAUGAGGAGCCCACAGGCGGAGAGCCCUGUUUAAAAUUCCGCUCUGCAACGUGUCGGCUUUCCAAUCCACCGGGAUUGCAUUAUUAAACUUACACAAGCUCAUUUCCAUACAAAGCAGGAUAUCAGCGGCAGAGAGUCAUGCAUAUUUAUCGCCGUGUGCCUGGCUUACGCACGAAUACACUCGCACAAUAACCCGCACGCAGGCAUAACUUAGUCGUGGUACAUAAGUGAGGAAGGAAACCGAGGUGCAUUCCUAAUGGUUUGAGCAUGAGAGGUCCUGAGUGAGGAUGGUCAAUGAAAUCUACAUGUCAAUCACCUGACAAACCGACACAUAAACAGGCAGUUUCUCACACGCAAACAGAGGAGAGGAGAUGAGUUACACUUUGAGAUCUGACGAGAAGUGUAUUAGUGAAAAUCUACACGCAAAGUAAUGCACACACGGUCCAGCCAAGCCUCCACUUGUCCAUGUUGACUGUUCCCUGCUAGUAGCUAGUUCCCUCAAUGUCCCUGCCUGUGUGUCUCCCCCCGUCCCUACGUCCCGGCUGCCCCACUGUUCUUCUCCUCCUCCACUAGUUUCCGAGCACCGGUUUCUCCUCUCCUCCUCCUCCCCCUCUUUUCUUCCUUGCCCUCCUUCAGGUGAUGUCCGUCCCUCCUCCUCCUCCUGUGAGAUUGCUGCUGUGUCUUAUGGCUUUUUAUUCCUACGUGAGGAUAGAUGUGUUCAUGUAGGGAUAGAAGCCACUAAACACACGGUGAGAGGUCAACGUGCAGGCCAGUAGAGCCAAGGCUUCCUUUUCCACACAGAGCAAAUACCCUGCGGUGAAGUUAUGGUGGAGUUUACUGUCUAACUCUAGGUCUACAUGCAACCGUUAAGUUACUUCUAAACAGAAAUGCCAAACACAUAGGCCUAAACAGAAUGGCAACUCUCAAAGACCCACCAACAAAGGCCCAGUACUAAAGGCUGUAACAAAGCCAAAGAAGGUCCUAAGAUAUAGUCCAAAACUAGUCUGUAAUUCACUGGUUAUCAAACAACCUUGUUCAAGAAAUCCUUAAGAAAAGGGAAGCCAUGUUCUGCUAACAAAUGGAUGGAAUACUUCAAGCUAAGGUAGGUCCACUACAUCCAUCUAAACUGAGGUGAGUUUCGUCCAGGUUCCCAACCCCAAAUAGGAUGAACAUUAGAAUCCUGAGAUGAAUCAUUGUAAAGCGUGAAAUGUUAUUCUAUGUGCUUCAUAAAACCUACUUCUAGCUGCCAUCAUAGCUGAAGUGUAAUAAUUCAACACCCUCACUAAUGUACAUGAAUGUUCACACUAUAAAUCUACAUCACAACACAUGAUAGGAGCAUCAAUUAUUGACAGUGUUUUCUAUAGACCUCAACGCUUUCAGGGAGAAUAUGUUGGAAUAGAUUACUGCCAAUGGAUUCACUGCCUGAGGCAGAGUUGAGUUGAUGCAUUAAUAUAAAGUCUUUGUAUGUAUAUACAUGCAUCUCUGUCUUUUAAGAAUCUAUCUCCUGGCAGACUUUGAUUUUCCUGUAAUAAAUAAUGCUCUUUUGUGUUUUGUGUUGUUGCCGUUCUUCAUUUGUUUUCAUAUUUUCAAUGGUGCGAAUUGAUUAAUAAAUUAUGCAUUCAGCCAA